AAGGAGUUAGUUAAAUUAAAAUAACAUUAGAGUGUCAAUCUAAAAUUACUAAUUAAAUAGUACACCUUG
This 69-nucleotide transfer RNA is filed under the name Asiotmethis zacharjini. Its description in RNAcentral is "tRNA-Asp". Lineage: Eukaryota; Metazoa; Arthropoda; Insecta; Orthoptera; Pamphagidae. The record is from RNAcentral.